This 501-nucleotide long non-coding RNA is filed under the name Homo sapiens (human). RNAcentral describes it as "novel transcript, antisense to GABARAPL2". Lineage: Eukaryota; Metazoa; Chordata; Mammalia; Primates; Hominidae. The record is from RNAcentral.
CUAAAGCCCUCUCCCCAACCCCUCCACUGAAUGACACAGAUCCAGGUAAAACCACUUCUCCAGUGGAGAAACUGUGCAAUAAAAAAAGGAAAGUUGCAGCAAGACCUACAUCCAGGAAUGGCCAUGUGACUCAAGACAGACAUCAGUUUAUGCUACCAACAGCGCUAUGCAUUGGGAGAGGCUGACCUAGAACUGUAUGGAUGCCCAAUCCCUAGAGAACCUACGUUCGCCCCAACCAAGGGCAGGUCAUGGAGGCUGUGGGGUCUACACCGACUCAUGAAUUGGCUGGGCUGAUGAGCACACCUGGCCACCCAUCUGCUUUGGAGUCCACGCGCUUCCACUGGACCUUGGAUUAUCUCUUCUCCAGCAGGGCAGGAUGGGUGGUGGGAGGUGGAAGGGCAGUGACCACUACUGUCAAUCCUGGAGAGGCACUGGCUUCACAGUGAAAGUUAAUAAGGCCCUGAGGCUCCCCAAGAUUCUAAAAUAAAAAGAUUAACCACU